This 73-nucleotide transfer RNA is filed under the name Camelus bactrianus (Bactrian camel). It matches the Rfam family "tRNA". From Rfam's summary of the family: Transfer RNA (tRNA) molecules are approximately 80 nucleotides in length. Lineage: Eukaryota; Metazoa; Chordata; Mammalia; Artiodactyla; Camelidae. The record is from Rfam by way of RNAcentral. RNAcentral also lists the same sequence under 2 other names.
GAGGUUACAGCUCAAGUGGUAAAGUGCAUGCUUAGCAUGCAUGAGGUCCUGGGUUCAAUCCCCAGUAAGUUCU